UGUAAGAGAACUAAGCUGGUUAGUCCGUCCCGUCCUGAGAUUGAAGGUGGACUGUGAAAGCCUGCUCUGUGCCGGAAAGGAAAUGGAUAAUUAGCAGUAAAUGCGCGGAAUAAUAAGCAGGAUUAAAUACAUGUGUGUGUCAGAUGGGCGCGUUCAUGUGCGAUGAGAUGUGAUGCGGUGGGCACGGAGACAUCGGUUUUCUCCGGCUGGUUAGAAACCUCGAUUGGAAAAAUUUGCCAGGGACCGCUGAGCGGAGCCCUGCCCGUGCCCGGCCCUGCUCCCGGCUGAAGGUGACAGACGGAGCGCGGGUGUCGCCCGGCGCGGGGCCAAUGGCAGGACGUGUUCCUGCAUCCCGCCCAUGGCGAGGGACAGGCUGGGACAGCGGCCACCCAAAUCCACCCAGCAAAUGACAUUUUCCUGCAAAAGCGCGGCGGAGCCAAUCGCUCCCUGCACUGUGCAGCCAAUGGAUGCCGGGCUCUUACCCAGCCACUGACAGCGGCUCCGGGGCUGGAGGGCCUCGGGACAGCUCUGCCAAGCGCGUUCCUGCACAGCCCGAGCCGCCGGUGUGGGUCCCAUCCGCGCCGUGAUUCAUUUCCCGGCCAUAGCGAUGCCAUUGUGAGCCCUCGGGGUGACGCGGCGAGCGACGCGUCCCGCCCGCAGCGACCCGCGGCUGGCGGGGGCAGCCCGAGGUGAUCCGGGGUUUGUGUUCCCGUUUAGCAGUGCCACGGCUGCCUACCCAGCAGACCUGCUCCCGAGAGCCAGAGGGAUGGUGGUAGUUACGGGGCAGAACAAAGUGAGCGGAAACCCGGAUGAUGCCAUGUCGAGCUCGGAUGCAGAGGAUGAUUUCCAAGAGCCGGCCACUCCUACUGCAACCCAGGCAGGACAAGCUCUACCUCUGCUGCCCCAGGAGUUUCCAGAAGUUGUCCCCCUGAACGUGGGAGGGAUGUACUUUACCACGAGACUGUCCACCCUGAGGCGUUACGAGGACACCAUGCUGGCAGCCAUGUUCAGCGGGAGGCACUACAUCCCCACGGAUGCUGAGGGCAGGUACUUCAUCGACAGAGAUGGAACCUACUUUGGAGACAUACUUAACUUUCUACGCUCUGGUGACCUGCCACCAAGAGAACGAGUGAGGUCAGUUUACAAGGAAGCUCAGUAUUAUUCCAUAGGACCAUUGCUAGACAAUCUAGAGGAUAUCCAGCCUCUGAAAGGAGAAAAAGUUAGACAAGCUUUCCUGGGCCUAAUGCCAUAUUACAAAGAUCACUUGGAACGGAUAAUCGAAAUAGCAAAGCUCCGAGCUAUGCAGAGAAAAGCGAGAUUUGCAAAACUGAAGGUCUGUGUCUUCAAAGAGGAGAUGCCCAUCACUCCCUACGAGUGCCCCCACUUCAAUUCCCUGCGUUUUGAGAGGAGUGAGAGCGAGACCAAGCUGUUUGAGCACCACUGUGAGGUGGAUGUGUCCUUUGGCCCCUGGGAGGCCGUGGCCGAUGUCUACGACCUGCUGCACUGUAUCGUGACAGACCUGUCUGACAGGGGCAUCACUGUGGAUCACCAGUGCAUUGGGGUGUGUGACAAACACCUCAUCAACCACUACUACUGCAAGAGGCCCAUCUAUGAGUUCAAGAUCACUUGGUGGUGAGUUGUUUUCUCCGGGACAGCGCGAGGGAUAAAAGGACUUCUAAGGUGACAGUCGAUUGCUUUUGAUAUUUUUGCAAGGUGUCUCUGGAAAUGCAUUGCUGCUAACAUUCCUUGGAGUCAGUGAGCUGCUCAGCAAAGGGAACCUGGUACAGAGGUUAAAGAACCUCUGGAAUCUUGAAAAACCAGCCUGACAUCAGACUGUUGGCUCAGGUACCUUAACGAGGCACAACACACAAAAAUCACCUCAUGGAAGUGGUGGAGAGGAGUGUCUGACAUCUUCUAAAAGGUGCCCCCAACCAGGUGGCUUUAGUAUCCCAGUCUGCAGAAUGGAAUUGCAGAUCUCUCCUGCUUUAUUGGGAAGCUGGGGUGCUGAUAUUGCUGACAUGUGGUUCAGCUUUACCCACUUAGAGAUGUUUUAGUUCCUACUUAAACUUACCACUUUAUAAAAUUGAGUAAUACCCAGCACAAAGAUUCUGGAAAUGUAAUUUUGAUGUAAUAGAUAAUUUAAAAAAGAGGAAAAAAGGAGUGUUCCCUAUAUAUUAUUAAUUGUUGUCAGGAUUAAGGUGUAUUUCUUUUUUAAUUAAGAAUCUACAUUGUGAAUUAUAAUGUUAUAUUUCAAUUAUUAUUAUUAUUGUUAUAACAAGGAAUAGCAGAUUUGGAAUAUAUUCCUUAAUGCUUUUAGGAAUAAUAACUGUCCAUGGAAGACUCGUGCCUGUUUUUAGCCUUAGAAAUUCUAAAUGUUUACAAUAUCUACAAAAAAAAAAGAAGCUCUAUAGAAUCAGGUCAUUUACAAAGGCUUUUGGUAAAUGAGAAAACCCUAUAUGUAUGUUCCUAUUAGCAGAAGUAAGAGGAAUAUUUAAUGUAUAUUAUUUUAUUACUGACUCUUUUUACAUUCUGUGAUAUUUAAACUUUGUUCUAGAGUUAAAGUCAGAUGAUACUGUACAAGUGCUUCCUUCACCUCACCUUCUUCAGACAAUUAAUUCUUAUUUUUAUCAUUCUUGUUGACCCUUCCUGGUGUCAUAUAAGGAAAAACAAAAUUCAACCGUCCUAUUCAAAUAUUUCUCCAAUUAUAAAUCAGUAGAUCUGGGUAGUAAAUCCCUUUCCAUGCCAAAAGAGGCAACCAUUGCAGAAUCACAUUCUUUUCAGAAGGCAAUUGUUGCACUUCUGACAUGAGUAACCACAUCCCAAAGCUGAAUUACUCGAUGUCCAAAACCAAAAGGGAGAUUUAAACGUCUGCAGAUAUUGAUGUUUUGUGAGGUACAGGAAACUCAGCUGUUUUUCUAAAAUGAAGGGACUUCCAAAUAAUCUUAAGGAGAGAGAAAAAGUAAAUAUUUGCAUAUUGCAUUCCAUUGGAUCAGAUGAUCCAACAAUAUUGCUUAAUUAAACUUUUGACCAAAACUUAAGAAACGCAUUAAUUACAGUGAUCAAAAUUCUUAGUUACCUGAGGUAAUUUUUAGUGUAAUUCUAAAAACCUUAUGGUCAAAUUGUCUUGCAAAAAAAGAGCCAAAUUGUUUGCAUUGUCACACUUUCAGGCACUUAAUUUAGCAAUUUUUAGUGAAUUGUCUCUCUGAAGUGGGGGCUCUAAUGAUCUCUUUGCAAAUGUUUACUUAGAGAGGCUCGUUGUCAAGCGCUGAGUUUCAAGUCCAGAGCUUGAAAGGGCAUUUGAAUCUUAAGUUUGUUUAAAUUGUUUUCUUAAAUAUUGGCCUUUGUGUUACAGAUUCUUGUACUUGUGUUUGGCGACCCAAAAUUAAGAGUUAAACUGAGACUAGUAAAGCUUCCCUACAAUGAGAGGAACUUGGUUUCUUUGCUGGCUUCAUUUAUUUUCAUUUUAUUUUUUUUCCCAGGGAAUCUUAAACUGCAAACCACAAUUUCUUCUAAAAUUACGUAAGAUCUUAAAACCGAGGCUUACAAACUUUUGGCUGCUUGUCCACUUCAGACAUUUAAAUUCAGGAUUUUCAGCAUAGUUUAUUUAGGGAUUACAAUGAGAAUUGCAGUUUUAAGGGGAGUUUCGGUGUUUUUUUGCCAUUUCCCAUAUAUGUAUUUACACAGGAGAGAACUCUGGUUUGAAUUUCAGCACCACUUGCAGAAACAGGACACAGUCUGAUUUUUAACAGUGUGGUUUUUUUGGUUUGGCUUUAAGAAUUUUCUCGCUGUUUUUAUAGAGAAGCUGUGAGGACAAACCCCCUGUUUUGACCACGUUUGCUAUUUCUUAACAGGCACAUGCUGAUAUUUUAUUACUUUCCCCUGUUCAUUGCUUUAAAAGAGUAAGGAAAACUACCGACCCAAAAGGAUAAAAUGAAAAUCUUGGUCUGUAUCAGCUGCAUCUUAAUCAAAGCUCUCAUCCUUCCAGUCCUCCUGGAGGCAGCAGACGUUCAGUGCAAUAAUGGGAAGGAAAACACGGAUUUAAGCCCACGUGCUUUCAUUAAACACAUCCGUUCUGUGCUGUGAUUUGGGCAGGUUAACCCUGUUUUUAUUGACUGCCCGUGUUCUAAAGCAGUCUUUGUUUACAGCGAUUUAGAUGAUCUUGCCUAAUCUGUGCUCAUUUUCUGACAGAAGCAGAGGAGUCGUGCAGGAGGAUGGCAGGGGAGUAGAAUCUAAUCACUGCUUUAUGUAACAGUAGUGACUUUUCUUGGCGUGUAGCAUAACUUUUGAAAUUCUACAUUUGCAACAGAAAUGUGAGUAGCUGAUCUACUAAAUCCAUGUUUAACGGGAUUGAUGGUUUUGUACAUCGUGGAUGCUUUAGAAUUGUCUGAUUAAACUAAAUGCCUAUGGAAUACUGCCUUUUUUUUUUUUUUUCCCUUUAGGACUUUUCUUUAUAUCCAGCCAGGCCAGAGGUUUGCUAGAACAUAUUUACCUAUUUCUCCGUGCUUCUCUUGGCUUUUUUGCCACUUUAGCAUCUACAAAGCUACUUUUCCACCCCCACACUCUCAAAUCCCUGUGUUUGGCACUGGAAACAAAUUGGGCACAGUCAAUAGUCUCGUGUCAUCAAUAUUACCUUGCUGUGAAUAUCAUGUUUGCAGAUCAUUAAAAGGACAGUGCAUGUCCAUUUAGCUGAUUCAGUUCGAAGGACAUACAUUUUUUAUUUCAUAUUCUGAGACUGGAUACAGGCCCUUUUUCCAUUUUUAGUUCCAAAUUGAUACACAGGAACACACAUAUUACAAUCGACUUUUUUUCCUCCCCCAAAUAAGUCUGAAAUAUUUUCAAAGCCCACAUCACAUAUCUGGAUUGCAGUGAUUAUUCUGCUUUUAUGAAUACUGGUGGGACAGUUGGGGGAUACUUAUUUAAAAUUAGAAUUGUUAGCUAUUUUUUUAUGUUGCUGUGUGUAUGAAAAAAAACAUGACAAGACUAAUCUUUUUAACAUUCCCUCUGGAAUGUUUAACAUUCCCUCUGGAAUCCACUCUGCAGUGGUUUUUAACAGGGAGCAAAGGCAGGUCUUACCAUCAGGUCUCAUCUUAAAUGACUUGGCCAAUUCCACAGCACAUUCAGUAUUUCUGCUUCUGUUUUACAGUUGUAAAAUAGGAAGGGGGGAAAAAAAGGAAAAUUUAAAAAAGAAGGAAAAUAACUCAUCUUUCUGCAUCACUCAAAAUGACCUGAAAAUAUAUUUAUGUGCAGCAGCCACUUUAUUGAUUUCAAGAGCUUAAAAAAAAAAUAUAAAAAUAACUUUUGAGCUUGGUGUGGGCUUCUUAACUUGAAUACCCAAUACCCUGCAUAGGAAUCUGAAAUACUCCUUGCUGAACUUCCAUCCUCCUUGGAGGACAGUGAAGGUGCUGCCAGCUUUGAUCUGGGAAGCCUUUGAGCCAUAAACAGAUCCUCUGUGGUCCUCGUGGUGCACGUUUUCUUCUGGGGUUUUAUUUUUAUUUUAAAGCUUAUUUUAACCAAAACCUAUAAUGAGGGAUCAGCUUCUGCAUUGGUGAGGGUGUGAGUUCUCUGGUUUGUUUUGGAGCACUUCAGGUCUUAGUCACCUGAGUAACAAAAGCAGUGAGUUAUUGCAGCAGGAAGUUCUGCAUGACCCCCUUUUGAUGGAUUUUUUUAAAGUUUUUAGGAAGUCUGCCUGGGAGACACCUCAUGAUGUAAUAUAUGCAAAUACCUGAACUUGUUAAUGUGAAUAUUUUUGAGAUUUUGUGGUUCAGUUUUGUAAUAUUCUCCCCUGAAACUAGCAAGAGUGCUAAGGGUUGAGUUAAACGUUAGUUUUCUGAUAAGCCAGCUUAUGCCUUAGAUAUCUCCUGCCCUCAUUUUGUAAAAUCACUCAUCCCAAAGGUGUUUGAUGUAGGAAAAAGUCAAGGCUGUUGUAGUUACAGGAAAACCAGGAAUCUUCCUUGAUUCUCAACAAUGAGUCAUUAAGAGAAUCAGGGUUUGUUAAUCCACUCACACCCUCCAUUCUUUGCUCUGGUGGUCUCAGGGCUGGGUCUGGCUCACAAGGGUCCUUGAAGGCAAAACUCAAACAGUUCUGUUAUGGGGAACGAGCUGAUUUGCAUAAGCACCUAAUUUGGCCUUUGCUGAGUGAUUGUUAAAAUUCCUGCAAACGAAGGAUGUCGAUAUUUUAAACUGUUCCAAGCAACAGCUUUGUUAAACCCUAAUCUGCUUUGAGCCAGUGGAUGUAUUGUGAGGGCUUGGCCAGGUCUUUUAUCUGUGCUUCUCGGUGGAUCUGUGUUUUCCCAGUGGAAUCUGAAGCCCAGGGAGGUUGCUGAUCACGGCCAGGGAAUACAUUUUCAGGUGUGUCCUGAGCUGGAUUUUGGAAAUACGAAAGUGGGAGGGAAUUAGUUCUGCAGUGUGUUCCCCGGGGAUGAUCCUCACUACCUCUAAAGGAACACUUUGGUGAGAUCCUGAUCCACACUCCCCCACAUCUCCCUUUGUGAGCUGAAGUGUCAAAGGCAUGAGGAGAUGAGGUGUCUGGGCUGAACACUCACAGUGAGAUAAUGACUCUGACUGGAUCCCCCGUGGGCCUCACCCCCUUCUCUGACCCUGCAGAUGUACAACUCUGUGUGCAGGAAAUCUAUUACUUCUCUCUGCUGCACCCUCAGAUUUGUUUGCAAGGUGAAUGCUUGGUCUGUUUUAAAAUAAAGGGGUUGUUUUAAUAUUGCAAUAUAACUGAUAGUUGCUAAAGAAUCAGUGAAAACCUUAUUACUGUCAAAAAUACGUGACUAAAUCAAUUAACUUAUAGCAUAAUCACUUUAAUUUCACUCUUCUUAUUUUUUUUAAUAAAGACUUUUUUUAAGGGCUUACAUCUGUUUCAUAGAAAUAUGCCUUCAGCCUAAGUAGCUGUGUUUUGGGGGGUGAGAGCCUUUUUUAUUGCUUGCUAUGAGCUGAAGGAUAAAUUGCACAAUCCUUCAUCUGUCUGGGUUUUUUUUUCCUUAAAAUCUAACUACUCAUAUAAUUAAAGGUCAUGAUUUUCUAGCUUCAUUUGGCACUUGCAGGCCCUGGGAACCCUCCUUCCCAGCUUUACUCUCACUGCUCAUUCUUCUUUAUAGAUGACGUGGGACAGGUGACACGAUGAGGAAGAUGAUGGAAGUGCCAGCAGGGAAAGGCUCCUGUCAGAGCUGGUGGUUUCCAUUGCAGGGUGUUCUUGGGGCUUGAUUUCAGCUCUUUUUCUGUGUGAGGCACAGGAACCUUCAGCACCAUGUGUGUGAGCUCAGUCUGUCAGGAAUUCAGGGCAACUUCCACUGGUCCUUCAUUUCUGUGUGAGUUCAUUGUGGUGUUGAUUCUGGGAGCUAAGAGGGUGGGAAAAUCCAGUGGAUUGCAGGGUCACACUGCUUGAACUUUGUGCCACAGCUGGAUCUUUCUGCAUGGCAAGGCAGAGUAAUCAUUUGGGACACAACUGCAGGACAGGUAAGAGAAGACUUCAGAGCAGAGACUGUAGAAAAAUCAUCUCUGAAUUCACCAUAAAACUCUGGGAUAUAUUUCUUUCACUUGCAUCAUUUAAUAACUACUUUACUCUGGGCAAUUUAUAGACCCCACUAGCUUUAAGUUGUGGUUCCUGGAGUUGUACUGAUCUCUUUGGUCAUUUGUAGUUAAACAAUUGUAAAUGUUUUCAGGUCGUUCACACACAGCCAAGGAUCGUUCUGAAUUUUGGGCUAUGGAAACAUAAUUUCACUUAACAGAAUCCCCCCCUGCCCCAGUCUUUCAUUAUCUUUCUGCACAUAAGCUGAUUUCAGAGGGUAAUUAUGCUCUGUUUAUUAUCUCCUGUAUAUAGUCCUCUAACUGGAAAUCACUUUCCAGAACAGCAGUUCUUAGUCAUUUUACUUACACAAGCUUAGUAUAAGUUUACCUCCACUUUCACUGUGACUUUUAUAAAUGGAUUUUGUUUUGCUGAAUUAUGAAUUGUAUGUGUCUAUGCAUUGUAACCCGUAAUGCCUUUGAAAAUCCAGCCUGGAUGCUAACGAUCAGGGUUUGGAAUUCUCUCCAAAUGUGUUUUGUUAAUAAUUCUGUUGACGUGUGAUGUUCAAUACUGUGAGUACUGCAGUGUAUUAUUUCUUAAUAUUUUUGACUUUUCAGUUCGGGUAAUAUAUAGUCUAUGUUUUUUAUUUAAAACACAUAGAAGAAAAUGUGGAUAUAAAUUUGUGCUGUGCAAUAAAAGAUUAUUAUACUGAAAA
Chiroxiphia lanceolata (lance-tailed manakin) is the source of this 8225-nucleotide RNA transcript. It is a transcript of the gene named potassium channel tetramerization domain containing 7, with no coding region annotated. The record is from RefSeq and is a predicted model, not a curated record. The transcript is spliced from 6 exons. NCBI's taxonomy places the organism in Eukaryota, Metazoa, Chordata, Aves, Passeriformes, Pipridae.